GAAUACGUCCCGGGCUACACGCGAGCUACAAUGGUUGGUACAAUGGGUAUCUACCCCGAAAGGGGACGGGAAUCUCCUAAAACCAAUCUUAGUUCGGAUUGAGGGCUGCAACUCGCCCUCAUGAAGCUGGAAUCCGUAGUAAUCGCGUUUCAACAGAACGCGGUGAAUACGUCCCUGCUCCUU
This 183-nucleotide ribosomal RNA is filed under the name uncultured Methanosaeta sp. RNAcentral's name for it is "partial 16S ribosomal RNA". It matches the Rfam family "Archaeal small subunit ribosomal RNA", at positions 1158 to 1338 of the family's 1478-position model. The record is from RNAcentral. Lineage: Archaea; Methanobacteriati; Methanobacteriota; Methanomicrobia; Methanotrichales; Methanotrichaceae.